RNAcentral lists this ribosomal RNA (253 nucleotides) under uncultured bacterium. RNAcentral describes it as "partial 16S ribosomal RNA". It matches the Rfam family "Bacterial small subunit ribosomal RNA", at positions 524 to 776 of the family's 1533-position model. The record is from RNAcentral.
UACGGAGGGUGCAAGCGUUGUUCGGAAUUACUGGGCGUAAAGCGCGCGUAGGCGGUUUUAUAAGUCAGAUGUGAAAGUCCACGGCUCAACCGUGGAAGUGCAUUUGAAACUGUGGAACUUGAGUACUGGAGGGGGUGGUGGAAUUCCCGGUGUAGAGGUGAAAUUCGUAGAUAUCGGGAGGAAUACCGGUGGCGAAGGCGACCACCUGGCCAGAUACUGACGCUGAGGUGCGAAAGCGUGGGGAGCAAACAGG